UACGAGAGGCCCAAACGUUAUUCGGAAUUACUGGGCUUAAAGAGUUCGUAGGCGGCAUGAAAAGUAGGGUGUGAAAGCCCUCGGCUCAACCGAGGAAUUGCGCUCUAAACUGUCGUGCUCGAGGAACCUAGAGGUGAGCAGAACAGAUGGUGGAGCGGUGAAAUGCGUUGAUAUCAUCUGGAAUACCGGAGGCGAAGGCGGCUCACUGGGGGUUUUCUGACGCUGAGGAACGAAAGCCAGGGUAGCAAACGGG
RNAcentral lists this ribosomal RNA (253 nucleotides) under uncultured bacterium. RNAcentral's name for it is "partial 16S ribosomal RNA". It matches the Rfam family "Bacterial small subunit ribosomal RNA", at positions 524 to 776 of the family's 1533-position model. The record is from RNAcentral.